UCCCCUAGAGCUCAUCUGAGACCUAAGAUGGCGGCGUUCGUACUGAGGGAAAGUACAGCUGGCGUACCAGGUGUGGAAAGCAGCCAAUGAACAAAUCUGAGGGAAGUACAGAAGCUCGCCAACUUUUGUUUUGUGAUGAAGACCUCUGGGCAUUGUAAUAUUAACAUUUGUUCUGGAAGCACAUUGUUCUGUUCAGAGGGGAUUUCCACAUCUGUUAGGAAAUAAGUACUUAAGAUAUACAAACAUACAAAGAAUAACACAAUGAGAGAUGCAAAAAAAAAAAAUACAGUGAACCUCUGUUUUAUCAUCCAGACGUUAAAAAUAAUACAUUACUAUGAUAGUUGAAGUUCUCUGCGUACCCAUUCCUGGAUUCAUCUCUUUUCUUCCUUCAUCCCCAGAGAGAGAAAGAGCACAAGCAGGGGGAGCAGGCUCCUUGCUGAGCAAGGAGCCAAACGUGGGACUUCCUCCCAAGAUCCUGGCAUCAUGACCUGAGCUGAAGGCAGACGCUUAACCAACUGAGCCACCCACGUAUCCCAAAGACCAGAAGUUUUUUGAUGAAAUCCAUUUCAUAAAGUUUUUUUCUUAGAUGGCCUUCCAGUACAGUGUGGAAUGGGGUAGAGAGGACCCUGAGAUCAUGACCUGAGCUGAAAUUAAGAGUUGGAGGCUUAGCUGACUGAGCUACCCAGAACAGGAAGUGGGCAGGUAUUUCAGAUUUCACUACUGCUAUUCAGCUUAGCACUGGAAGUUCUACCCAGGACCAUAAGGGUGACUCCAUUUGUGCAGAUCUCAUGGCAACAAAUGUGGCUUAAUAUCCAGACAAGGCAUGCAUCUAGUCUACUUUGGAGUGAGAAAAAGAAGCCCUUUGGAGCUGGAGUAAUUUUAGAGAUGAGAGAGCUGAAGAAGGGGAUCUCCUUAUUUUGUAUAUGAACUGAAGCAGUUUCUUGAGCUCAUCUUCAAUGUGAACAUGUAUGAGAUAGUCCAAAAUAAAACAUAGAAAUAGCUUUUGGAAUUUAUAAUAUGAAGCCCCAUCCAUGUUACAGACUGAACUCAGAGAAUCAUAUGUGAGGUAGACCCAAAUCAUCAUGGUAAAGACUGAAAACUAGAUAUUGGAAACAAUUCUCAUAAAAGGGGAGAUCGAAGUUGUGGUCUGAACCUAACUGAAUUGAUUGCCUUUUUAAAAGGGCAUUCACACAUACAUUGUCCAGGAGAUUUUUAAAGAGAUCAGAUUCUUACAACAUAAUGUGCAAAAUGCCCAACAAUCCAAAAAUACAAAGAACUAGGGGAAAUAUGUGACAAUGAAUAGGUGCCAGACACAGGAUAUUAGAGAUUUUGGAA
This is a non-coding RNA of Callorhinus ursinus (northern fur seal), 1335 nucleotides long. NCBI's taxonomy places the organism in Eukaryota, Metazoa, Chordata, Mammalia, Carnivora, Otariidae. The record is from RefSeq and is a predicted model, not a curated record.